GAAACACCCUCAGGGCCAAGACUUGCUUCAGUGGGGCUUUGGUGCUCACUGAGUCUGCCCCCUGAAUAUGUCUCU
Molecule: microRNA precursor, 75 nt
Filed under: Myotis lucifugus (little brown bat)
Lineage: Eukaryota; Metazoa; Chordata; Mammalia; Chiroptera; Vespertilionidae
Description: mir-9229 microRNA precursor family
Rfam family: mir-9229 microRNA precursor family
Source: Rfam by way of RNAcentral